CGAUGAAAACUGUAACCAAUGCUAUAUAGGUAGCACAAAGAGAAAUUUGAAAAAGAGGUUAGAAUAAAAUAGGACAGUUAUUGCUAAAGGAAGACUUAACACAGCCCUCACAAUGAAGAGUUAUGAACAAAAUGUCAUCAUAAACUGGAACCAAGCUAAAAUUGUUAAGCCUGUAAGAGAAGCUUCUGGCUUUAACAUUGUGGAAGCUAUGGAAAUAGAAAAACAAAAAUAUUCUAUACCAGUUAUCAAUGAUAACCAACCGGUGGAUCUCCUGUUGGCCUGGGCAUGGUGUACUACCAAACACACACAAUUCUCAUGUUUAUAGACUGUCCAUUCAGUGCCCUAUAUAAAUGUUGGAGUUCCGUGCUGUAAUAUGCUGUAAUAUCCUGCAACCUAUAGUGUUCUCCAGCACCAGAUUUCUACGACACAUUUUAAUGGAC
This 440-nucleotide long non-coding RNA is filed under the name Androctonus crassicauda. Lineage: Eukaryota; Metazoa; Arthropoda; Arachnida; Scorpiones; Buthidae. The record is from RNAcentral.